AAAAAGACAAACCUUGGGUUUUCGUGUCCAACGUUUGACUGUCUGUUUUAUAUGAAUUUUUUUUAUAACUAAUAUUUGUAUUGUUGUUAGAUGAUAAAACAUGAUUAAUACUUUAUGCGUGACUUGUCUUUGUAAUUUUUUUCAUAUUUUUUUUCAAAUAAGAUGUAUGGUCAAACGUUGGAUACGGAAACUCGGGGUUUGUCUCUUU
This is a non-coding RNA of Oryza nivara, 208 nucleotides long. The record is from Rfam. Lineage: Eukaryota; Viridiplantae; Streptophyta; Magnoliopsida; Poales; Poaceae.